RNAcentral lists this ribosomal RNA (253 nucleotides) under uncultured bacterium. Its description in RNAcentral is "partial 16S ribosomal RNA". It matches the Rfam family "Bacterial small subunit ribosomal RNA", at positions 524 to 776 of the family's 1533-position model. The record is from RNAcentral.
UACGUAGGGGGCAAGCGUUGUCCGGAAUCAUUGGGCGUAAAGAGCGUGUAGGCGGCCAUAUAAGUCCGCUGUGAAAUCUCGAGGCUCAACUUCGAGCUGUCGGUGGAAACUGUCUGGCUAGAGUCCGGAAGAGGAGAAUGGAAUUCCUGGUGUAGCGGUGAAAUGCGCAGAUAUCAGGAAGAACACCCGUGGCGAAGGCGGUUCUCUGGGACGGUACUGACGCUGAGACGCGAAAGCGUGGGGAGCGAACAGG